GGAAAUUCGGUUUAAGAGUGAAUCUGGCUUGGUGAAGAAAGAGCAAAUCAUUUCUGAAUAUGAGUAUUUGGAUAAGCUGAUGAAAGAGUUUGAGUAUGAAAAUCCAAUAGAAAAAGAAGACUGAAUCUCAAUAUCUCAAUCACUUCAAGUCUUCUACCAUCAACCAUGUAUGCAUCUUAGACUUGU
This is a long non-coding RNA of Eutrema salsugineum, 186 nucleotides long. RefSeq lists it as uncharacterized. Lineage: Eukaryota; Viridiplantae; Streptophyta; Magnoliopsida; Brassicales; Brassicaceae. The record is from RefSeq and is a predicted model, not a curated record. The transcript has 3 exons.